CCAAGCAAUCCGACAUGUGCCGCGAGAAAGGAAAUAACCACAUGUUUACCACAUAGCAUGCCGUCUCCCUCUCCUCCUCCAUCUCCAACACCUCCUCGACCUUGUUCUUCCUCAGAUCAUACGAUACGAGCUUCCAGUCCGCCCUCAGGUACGCCACCUCCCUCUCCGGAUGCAGCGCCACUACUGCUCCAUUAACGUUGACGCUGUGCUUCAGCACCCACCCACCACCGCUCGACUCGUUGUGCAUCCACACCCUGAGCCGACCGCCGUCGUUGCAGGCGUAUUGCAGACCGCCGGCGGACAUGUCGAGACGCGCCCCAUGCUUCAUGGCCUCCGGCAGCUCGAUCAGACGGCACACGCUGUCGUCGCCGAGGUCGACCGCCACGGCGUAGUUCGGGUGGGCCAGGAUAUAGAGGGUCCCCGCGAA
This 427-nucleotide long non-coding RNA is filed under the name Musa acuminata (dwarf banana). Its description in RNAcentral is "long non-coding RNA (MACU_LNC001473)". Lineage: Eukaryota; Viridiplantae; Streptophyta; Magnoliopsida; Zingiberales; Musaceae. The record is from RNAcentral.